Molecule: long non-coding RNA, 218 nt
Filed under: Trifolium pratense (red clover)
Lineage: Eukaryota; Viridiplantae; Streptophyta; Magnoliopsida; Fabales; Fabaceae
Description: long non-coding RNA (TPRA_LNC000937)
Source: RNAcentral
GGACUAUUUGGAGUAACUAACUCCCUAACUAACUUUCUAACCUCCUAACUAACUUGGUAACCUAUCAACUAACUCUAGUUGAUUAACUAACUAUCUAUAUUCUUAACAGCCUCCCUCAAACUCAACAUUGGAAAGUUUUCCAAUUUGAGUUUGAAUUACAUGUAGUUCUCAAACUUUCGUGUAAAAAAAAAACAUUAUGUUAUGAUAAUCUCCAAUGA